This 70-nucleotide ribosomal RNA is filed under the name Bacillus subtilis. RNAcentral describes it as "partial 16S ribosomal RNA". It matches the Rfam family "Bacterial small subunit ribosomal RNA", at positions 1 to 70 of the family's 1533-position model. RNAcentral also lists the same sequence under 13 other names. The record is from RNAcentral. Lineage: Bacteria; Bacillati; Bacillota; Bacilli; Caryophanales; Bacillaceae.
UUAUCGGAGAGUUUGAUCCUGGCUCAGGACGAACGCUGGCGGCGUGCCUAAUACAUGCAAGUCGAGCGGA